This 73-nucleotide transfer RNA is filed under the name Pelodiscus sinensis (Chinese soft-shelled turtle). It matches the Rfam family "tRNA", at positions 5 to 66 of the family's 71-position model. From Rfam's summary of the family: Transfer RNA (tRNA) molecules are approximately 80 nucleotides in length. Their secondary structure includes four short double-helical elements and three loops (D, anti-codon, and T loops). The record is from Rfam by way of RNAcentral. Lineage: Eukaryota; Metazoa; Chordata; Testudines; Trionychidae.
AGGUGGCUGAGAGUUUAAGGUGAUGGACUUCUAAUCCAUUCUGCUCUGUACAUGUGGGUUCAAAUCCCAUCUU